CUUUAAGGAGGUGAUUAGCGUAGUGAGGUCACCAGGUGGGCCCUGAUGCAAUCUGGCAUCCUCCUAAGAGGACAUGAGGACACAGACACAUACAGAGGGACGAUCGUGUGAGGACACAGAGGAUGGCAUCUGCACGCCAAGGAGAGAGGCCUCAGGAGGAACCAGCCCUGCCCACACCUUGAUCUGGGACUUCCAGCCUCCAGGGUUGUGAGAGAGAAAUGUCUGUUGUUUAAGCCAUGCAGUCUAUGGUGCUUUGUUAUGGCAGCUCCAGCAAGCUAACCUGGGAUCUAAAAUGAUACUUAAACUGGUUCAGUCUGAUUCUUAAACUGGUUCAGUGGAGCUAGGCCAGGCUCCCUCUGAGCAGAUGUUGGUCCCUUUGCAGGCCUGCUGUGUGUGAUGAUUGCUAACCAGGUUAUGACAGUGAUCUUUAAGUAAG
This 436-nucleotide long non-coding RNA is filed under the name Homo sapiens (human). Its description in RNAcentral is "LHRI_LNC1878.1". Lineage: Eukaryota; Metazoa; Chordata; Mammalia; Primates; Hominidae. The record is from RNAcentral.